UUGAAACACCAGUUCUCAUAUGACCACCGAAGUUAAGCAAUGUUGAGGCUGGUCAGUACCUAGAUGGGUGACUGUUUGGGAAUAUGAACUGCUGUAAG
Non-coding RNA from Acanthosepion pharaonis, 98 nucleotides. The record is from the annotation of a GenBank genome assembly. NCBI's taxonomy places the organism in Eukaryota, Metazoa, Mollusca, Cephalopoda, Sepiida, Sepiidae.